This 253-nucleotide ribosomal RNA is filed under the name uncultured bacterium. RNAcentral's name for it is "partial 16S ribosomal RNA". It matches the Rfam family "Bacterial small subunit ribosomal RNA", at positions 524 to 776 of the family's 1533-position model. The record is from RNAcentral.
UACGGAGGGUGCGAGCGUUAUCCGGAAUCACUGGGCGUAAAGGGCGCGUCGGUGGCGCGACAAGUCAACGGUGAAAGCCCGGGGCUCAACCCCGGGUCGGCCGUCGAUACUGUUGGGCUUGAGCACUGUAGAGGCAGAGGGAAUUCCGGGUGUAGCGGUGGAAUGCGUAGAGAUCCGGAAGAACACCGGUGGCGAAGGCGGUCUGCUGGGCAGUAGCUGACACUGAUGCGCGACAGCGUGGGGAGCAAACAGG